RNAcentral lists this ribosomal RNA (493 nucleotides) under uncultured bacterium. Its description in RNAcentral is "bacterial SSU rRNA". It matches the Rfam family "Bacterial small subunit ribosomal RNA", at positions 903 to 1397 of the family's 1533-position model. The record is from RNAcentral.
AAAUGAAUAGACGGGGGCCCGCACAAGCGGUGGAUGAUGUGGAUUAAUUCGAUGCAACGCGAAAAACCUUACCUGGUCUUGACAUGUCGAGGAUCCUCCAGAGACGGAGGAGUGCCGCAAGGAACUCGAACACAGGUGCUGCAUGGCUGUCGUCAGCUCGUGUCGUGAGAUGUUGGGUUAAGUCCCGCAACGAGCGCAACCCUUGCCAUUAGUUGCCAUCCUUAAGUUGGGCACUCUAAUGGGACUGCCGGUGACAAACCGGAGGAAGGUGGGGAUGACGUCAAGUCCUCAUGGCCCUUAUGACCAGGGCUUCACACGUCAUACAAUGGUCGGUACAGAGGGUAGCUAAGCCGCGAGGUGGUGCCAAUCUCAGAAAACCGAUCGUAGUCCGGAUUGCAGUCUGCAACUCGACUGCAUGAAGUCGGAAUCGCUAGUAAUCGCGGAUCAGCAUGUCGCGGUGAAUACGUUCCCGGGCCUUGUACACACCGCCCGU